AGAGUUUGAUCAUGGCUCAGGAUAAACGCUGGCGGCGUGCCUUACGCAUGCAAGUCGCACGAUCACUUCGGUGGUAGUGGCGGACGGGUGAGUAACACGUACGUGAUCUGUCCCGAACUGGGGGAUAACCGCCCGAAAGGGUGGCUAAUACCGCAUGUGGUCCCUGGGAUGCGUCUCAGGGAGUAAAGCUCCGGCGGUUCGGGAGGAGCGUGCGGCCGAUUAGCUGGUUGGUGGGGUAACGGCCUACCAAGGCGUCGAUCGGUAGCUGGUCUGAGAGGACGGCCAGCCACACGGGGACUGAGACACGGCCCCGACUCCUACGGGAGGCAGCAGCGAGGAAUCUUGGUCAAUGGGCGCAAGCCUGAUCCAGCCAUGCCGCGUGCAGGAAGAAGGCUUUCUGAGUUGUAAACUGCUUUUGCCAGGGGAUAAAAUACGGAUGCGUCCGGAAUUGAAGGUACCUGGUGAAUAAGCCACGGCUAACUACGUGCCAGCAGCCGCGGUAAUUC
Molecule: ribosomal RNA, 506 nt
Filed under: uncultured bacterium
Lineage: Bacteria
Description: bacterial SSU rRNA
Rfam family: Bacterial small subunit ribosomal RNA
Source: RNAcentral